UUCCGGUUGAUCCUGCCGGACCCUACUGCUACCGGGGUGGGACUAAGACAUGCGAGUUGUGCGUCUCUAAGCUAUGGUAGAGACGCGGCGUACGGCUCAGUAACACGUGGCUAACCUACCCUUAGGACGGGGACAACCCCGGGAAACUGGGGCUAAUACCCGAUAGGUGAGGAGGCCUGGAAUGGUUCCUAGUCGAAAAGGCGUUGAAACCAUGCUUUUCGACGUCGCCUAAGGAUGGGGCCGCGCCCGAUCAGGUUGUUGGUGGGGUAACGGCUCACCAAGCCUAUAACCGGUACGGGCCGUGAGAGCGGGAGCCCGGAGAUGGGCACUGAGACAAGGGCCCAGGCCCUACGGGGCGCAGCAGUCGCGAAAACUCCGCAAUGCGCGAAAGCGUGACGGGGCUACCCCGAGUGCCGUCCGCUGAGGAUGGCUUUUCCCCGGUGUAAUGAGCCGGGGGAAUAAGGAGAGGGCAAGUCUGGUGUCAGCCGCCGCGGUAAUACCAGCUCUCCGAGUGGUAGGGAUGAUUAUUGGGCUUAAAGCGUCCGUAGCCGGCUUGGCAAGUCUCCUGUUAAAUUCAGCGACCUAAUCGUUGAGCCGCGGGAGAUACUACUAGGCUAGGAGGCGGGAGAGGCCGACGGUAUUCUCGGGGUAGGGGUGAAAUCCUAUAAUCCCGGGAGGACCACCAGUGGCGAAGGCUGUCGGCUAGAACGCGCUCGACGGUGAGGGACGAAAGCUGGGGGAGCGAACCGGAUUAGAUACCCGGGUAGUCCCAGCUGUAAACGAUGCGGGCUAGGUGUUGGGGUGGCUACGAGCCACUUCAGUGCCGCAGGGAAGCCGUUAAGCCCGCCGCCUGGGGAGUACGGCCGCAAGGCUGAAACUUAAAGGAAUUGGCGGGGGAGCACCACAAGGCGUGAAGCUUGCGGUUCAAUUGGAUUCAACGCCGGG
This 945-nucleotide ribosomal RNA is filed under the name uncultured archaeon. RNAcentral describes it as "bacterial SSU rRNA". It matches the Rfam family "Archaeal small subunit ribosomal RNA", at positions 1 to 922 of the family's 1478-position model. The record is from RNAcentral.